RNAcentral lists this ribosomal RNA (278 nucleotides) under uncultured bacterium. RNAcentral describes it as "partial 16S ribosomal RNA". The record is from RNAcentral.
CUGCUGCCUCCCGUAGGAGUCUGGUCCGUGUCUCAGUACCAGUGUGGGGGGCCUUCCUCUCAGAACCCCUACGCAUCGUCGCCUCGGUGGGCCGUUACCCCGCCGACUAGCUAAUGCGCCGCAUGCCCAUCCGUGGCCGGGAUUGCUUCCCUUUGGCGGCCUUGGGAUGCCCCAAGGCCGCGUUACGCGGUAUUAGACGGGGUUUCCCCCGCUUAUCCCCCUGCCACGGGCAGGUUGCCAUACGUGUUACUCACCCGUGCGCCGGUCGCCGGCAACGG